Molecule: transfer RNA, 68 nt
Filed under: Plecturocebus moloch (red-bellied titi)
Lineage: Eukaryota; Metazoa; Chordata; Mammalia; Primates; Pitheciidae
Also listed under: 6 other names
Description: tRNA-Glu
Rfam family: tRNA
About the family: Transfer RNA (tRNA) molecules are approximately 80 nucleotides in length. Their secondary structure includes four short double-helical elements and three loops (D, anti-codon, and T loops). Further hydrogen bonds mediate the characteristic L-shaped molecular structure. tRNAs have two regions of fundamental functional importance: the anti-codon, which is responsible for specific mRNA codon recognition, and the 3' end, to which the tRNAs corresponding amino acid is attached (by aminoacyl-tRNA synthetases). tRNAs cope with the degeneracy of the genetic code in two manners: having more than one tRNA (with a specific anti-codon) for a particular amino acid; and 'wobble' base-pairing, i.e. permitting non-standard base-pairing at the 3rd anti-codon position.
Source: RNAcentral
AUUCUUAUAGUUGAAACACAACAAUGGUUUUUCAUAUCAUUAGUCAUGGUUAAAUCCAUGUGGGAAUA